GCUAUCAUGCAGUCGAGGGGCAUCGCAGGUAGCAAUACUGGGCGGCGACCGGCAAACGGGUGCGGAACACGUACGUAACCUUCCUUUAAGUGGGAGAUAGCCCGAAGAAAUUCGGAUUAAUACCCCAUAAGAUCAUAGAGUGGCAUCACUUAGUGAUUAAAGAAUUUCGCUUAAAGAUGGGCGUGCGGCUGAUUAGGUAGUUGGUGAGGUAACGGCUCACCAAGCCAACGAUCAGUAACUGGCGUGAGAGCGCGACCAGUCACACGGGCACUGAGACACGGGCCCGACUCCUACGGGAGGCAGCAGUAAGGAAUAUUGGUCAAUGGACGGAAGUCUGAACCAGCCAUGCCGCGUGAAGGAUGAAGGUCCUCUGGAUUGUAAACUUCUUUUAUAUGGGAAGAAACCACUUUUAUCUAAAGGUGUUGACGGUACCAUAGGAAUAAGCACCGGCUAACUCCGUGCCAGCAGCCGCGGUAAUACGGAGGGUGCAAGCGUUAUCCGGAUUCACUGGGUUUAAAGGGUGCGUAGGCGGAUUGGUAAGUCCGUGGUGAAAUCUCCGAGCUUAACUCGGAAACUGCCAUGGAUACUAUUAGUCUUGAAUAUUGUGGAGGUUAGCGGAAUAUGUCAUGUAGCGGUGAAAUGCAUAGAUAUGACAUAGAACACCAAUUGCGAAGGCAGCUGGCUACACAAAUAUUGACGCUGAUGCACGAAAGCGUGGGGAUCAAACAGGAUUAGAUACCCUGGUAGUCCACGCCCUAAACGAUGAUUACUCGACAUUUGCGAUAUACAGUAAGUGUCUGAGCGAAAGCAUUAAGUAAUCCACCUGGGAAGUACGACCGCAAGGUUGAAA
RNAcentral lists this ribosomal RNA (850 nucleotides) under uncultured bacterium. Its description in RNAcentral is "bacterial SSU rRNA". It matches the Rfam family "Bacterial small subunit ribosomal RNA", at positions 46 to 899 of the family's 1533-position model. The record is from RNAcentral.